This 870-nucleotide ribosomal RNA is filed under the name uncultured bacterium. RNAcentral describes it as "bacterial SSU rRNA". It matches the Rfam family "Bacterial small subunit ribosomal RNA", at positions 1 to 826 of the family's 1533-position model. The record is from RNAcentral.
GCAUGCCCUUGGAUCCGAUUGACUGUUCGAUGUAUGGCUCCAGGAUGAACGCUAGCUACAAGGCCUAACACAUGCAAGUCGAGGGGAAACGGCAGCCUUAGCUUGUCUAAGCUGGACGUGCGCACCGGCGCACGGGUGGAGUAACGCGUAUCCAACCUGCCCCACGGUGAGGGAUAACCCGCGGAAACGCGGCCUAAUACCUCAUGGUUCUCCGAGCUUGACAUCAACCUUGGAGUAAAGAUUCAUUGCCGUGGGAUGGGGAUGCGUCUGAUUAGCUUGUUGGCGGGGCAACGGCCCACCAAGGCUACGAUCAGUAGGGGUUCUGAGAGGAAAGCCCCCCCACAUUGGAACUGAGACCACGGUCCAAACUCCUACGGGAGGCAGCAGUGAGGAAUAUUGGUCAAUGGGCGAGAGCCUGAACCAGCCAAGUAGCGUGCAGGAAGACGGCCCUAUGGGUUGUAAACUGCUUUUAUGCGGGGAUAAAGCGGGCGACGUGUCGCCCUUUGCAGGUACCGCAUGAAUAAGGACCGGCUAAUUCCGUGCCAGCAGCCGCGGUAAUACGGAAGGUCCGGGCGUUAUCCGGAUUUAUUGGGUUUAAAGGGAGCGCAGGCCGGGUAUUAAGCGUGUUGUGAAAUGUAGGCGCCCAACGUCUGCACCGCAGCGCGAACUGGUGCCCUUGAGUACGCACGACGUUGGCGGAAUUCGCCGUGUAGCGGUGAAAUAGCUUAGAUAUGGCGAAGUUAACUCCGAUUGCGAAAGCGAGCUCGUUGGAGCAGCGCGGACUGUCGCGUCAUGCUCGAAAGCGCGGGUAUCGAACAGGAUUAGAUACCCUGGUAGUCCGCGCGGUAAACGAUGGAUGCCCGCUAUUUG